RNAcentral lists this transfer RNA (74 nucleotides) under Inquilinus sp. KBS0705. RNAcentral describes it as "tRNA-Cys". It matches the Rfam family "tRNA". From Rfam's summary of the family: Transfer RNA (tRNA) molecules are approximately 80 nucleotides in length. Their secondary structure includes four short double-helical elements and three loops (D, anti-codon, and T loops). The record is from RNAcentral. Lineage: Bacteria; Pseudomonadati; Pseudomonadota; Alphaproteobacteria; Rhodospirillales; Rhodospirillaceae.
AGUCGCGUGGCCGAGAGGAUAGGCGAGGGUCUGCAAAACCCUUCACGGCGGUUCGAAUCCGCCCGCAACGUCAA